Molecule: transfer RNA, 77 nt
Filed under: mine drainage metagenome
Description: tRNA-Ala
Source: RNAcentral
GCGGCGCCAUCGUCGGCGUCGAGGCGCUGCUGCGCUGGCAGCGUAGCGACGGCAGUUCGGUGCCCCCGGCGCUGUUC